UCCUACGGGAGGCAGCAGUGGGGAAUUUUGGACAAUGGGCGCAAGCCUGAUCCAGCAAUGCCGCGUGAGUGAAGAAGGCCUUCGGGUUGUAAAGCUCUUUUGUCAGGGAAGAAACGGUUCGGGCUAAUAUCCUGGGCUAAUGACGGUACCUGAAGAAUAAGCACCGUCUAACUACGUGCCAGCAGCCGCGGUAAUACGUAGGGUGCAAGCGUUAAUCGGAAUUACUGGGCGUAAAGCGUGCGCAGGCGGUUGUGCAAGACAGAUGUGAAAUCCCCGGGCUCAACCUGGGAAUUGCAUUUGUGACUGCACGGCUAGAGUGUGUCAGAGGGGGGUAGAAUUCCACGUGUAGCAGUGAAAUGCGUAGAGAUGUGGAGGAAUACCGAUGGCGAAGGCAGCCCCCUGGGAUAACACUGACGCUCAUGCACGAAAGCGUGGGGAGCAAACAGGAUUAGAUACCCUGGUAGUCCACGCCCUAAACGAUGUCUACUAGUUGUCGGGUCUUAAUUGACUUGGUAACGCAGCUAACGCGUGAAGUAGACCGCCUGGGGAGUACGGUCGCAAGAUUAAAACUCAAAGGAAUUGACGGGGACCCGCACAAGCGGUGGAUGAUGUGGAUUAAUUCGAUGCAACGCGAAAAACCUUACCUACCCUUGACAUGUCUGGAAUCCUUGAGAGAUCAGGGAGUGCUCGAAAGAGAAUCAGAACACAGGUGCUGCAUGGCUGUCGUCAGCUCGUGUCGUGAGAUGUUGGGUUAAGUCCCGCAACGAGCGCAACCCUUGUCAUUAGUUGCUACGAAAGGGCACUCUAAUGAGACUGCCGGUGACAAACCGGAGGAAGGUGGGGAUGACGUCAAGUCCUCAUGGCCCUUAUGGGUAGGGCUUCACACGUCAUACAAUGGUACAUACAGAGGGCCGCCAACCCGCGAGGGGGAGCUAAUCCCAGAAAGUGUAUCGUAGUCCGGAUUGUAGUCUGCAACUCGACUACAUGAAGUUGGAAUCGCUAGUAAUCGCGGAUCAGCAUGUCGCGGUGAAUACGUUCCCGGGUCUUGUACACACCGCCCGUCACACCAUGGGAGCGGGUUUCACCAGAAGUGGGUAGCCUAACCGCAAGGAGGGCGCUCACCACGGUGGGAUUCGUGACUGGGGUGAAGUCGUAACAAGGUAGCCGUAUCGGAAGGUGCGGCUG
This 1185-nucleotide ribosomal RNA is filed under the name metagenome. RNAcentral's name for it is "bacterial SSU rRNA". It matches the Rfam family "Bacterial small subunit ribosomal RNA", at positions 337 to 1520 of the family's 1533-position model. The record is from RNAcentral.